RNA transcript from Rhagoletis zephyria (snowberry fruit fly), 6565 nucleotides. RefSeq lists it as uncharacterized. NCBI's taxonomy places the organism in Eukaryota, Metazoa, Arthropoda, Insecta, Diptera, Tephritidae. The record is from RefSeq and is a predicted model, not a curated record.
UUGGUUGAAAUAUCUAAUAUAUCUGAUUCAUGAACCAAAACCGAACCAAAAUUUAAAGUUGGGUACACAUUUUUAGAGGUUGCAUCGAGUGAGCAACAAUGUAUCUAUUCGAGAACUUACUGCGCUGAUGCGAAAACGAAAACUCGUAUAUCGAGACGAUAAAGUGGCCGGUAAUCUAGAGGUUAGAUGAGGAAACGGCCCUAAAAGUUAUUAAGCUUGAUCUGACUUUUUAAAAGUUUUUUUUUUAUUUUAUACAUAUUGUUAACGCGCCUAAUUAAUUGAACAUUGUAAUUAACGCGCUCAAGUUUGAUUAAAGAAAUGUACUAAAAUUUGCAGCCCUGCGCCUGCAAAGUAAUGCAAAUUCUCGCCAACAGAGGCUCGCGUGUAAUACGCUGUAUCCAAUUGCAUUUAUUUCUGUAAAGUUCUUUUCCCUUUUGCUGGCGGCGAGAAAACAUUAAUUUGCAGGAGCAAGCACAAAUAUUUUAGCGUGCAUAACAAUUAAAUAAAGGACGCUCAAAAUAAGUGCUGGUCUUAUAUUUUUCACUCGCCUGUCAACAGUCUAAAAUAUUUGUGGACUUAUCUAAGUACCUACAUACUUAUAUAAACAACAUGGAAGAUUCGAGACCAAACCAAGUAUGCGAAGCACACCCUUGCGCUACGACCACACCUUGUGUAACAGCAUCACCAGUCGACCAGUUAGCCCAGUUAACAUUUACGACUACCGAUGCGCCGGCACAGAUUUGGGAAACGGCCCAAAAUGGGGAGGGUUCGACCGCGAAUGUAGGUGCUCCCGUGCACGUGGAUGUUUACUCAACUCCUACUCCAUCGGGCAGCGGAUUUGUUAGAGCACCCACUACAUCAGCAUCGGGCGCAACCUCUGCAGAUAUGGUCGCCGAACUAUCAGCAUCGCAUACGGUUUUAGACUCGGUAAUAUUGUCACCAAAAACGCGUAGUAAAUUUUCGCGGUUAGGAUAUGAAGCCGUCCCAUGUGCUCGCUCUGCCCCGUUAAUGGCAUGCACAGAGCACAACUUAUCAUCUGUAAGCUCGGCUAGCAACAUAACUUCGAUGAUGAAUAACCUCUAUUCUACAGCGUGGUACAAGUCAUCCAAUAAUUUUGCCGGGCAUCAGCCUGUGUCGAAUUCUACCUAUACUUACGUACCCACUAGCAACAUGUGUCACGCCGACAGGGGUUUUCACAUUUUCGAUCCUGUUAGAUUGCAUAACUCACAGUUAUCAUGCAGCCAACCAUAUGUUGGUCGCCUCUAUAUGGCAAUGCAAAAGAGAUUUUAAAUCCUCAAUGGCACCUCGCCCUCCAUAUACCACGCAGGGUAGUGGGUGGGUCCAAGGUCCACUUUCUGGUCAAAACACUUCUGUGCCCAGUAACGUAAGUACCACUUGGAAUUCAACUCUUUCUCCUUCGCAUAUAGCGGCAAGACAAGUCAUUACGAAAGACAUACCUCACUUUUCCGGAGACCCUGAAGAAUGGCCUCUUUUUUAGACGAACUUUUUGCAAUCCACGGAACGCUGCGGGUUUUCGGAUCAAGAAAAUUUAAUUCGACUGCAGAAGUGUCUGAAAGGUCCUGCACUCGAGGCAGUUCGUGGCAAAUUGAUGAUGCCGGCCACAGUAAAUUUAGCAAUAGAAACACUCCGUAUGCUUUUUGGGCGACCAGACAUCAUUCACGAAGCCCUUCAGCGCAAGGUUAGAGAGGUUCCGGCAGUUAGAAUCGAGCGUUUAGAAACGUUAAUUACGCUGGCUCUUGCUGUGCAAAAUUAUAGGGCAACUAUGCAAGCCCUGGUUCAUUGAUUGUUGGUUCAUAAUGUGGCUCAACCAAAGUGAGAGCCGUCACCACCCAAGAGCUCCUCGCCUCUACCACAUCGGUCACCAAUGCAAUCGCAAAAAUUCAUUAAGUGCGCAGCUUGUCACAGCUUAACAGAUUGCGACGAAUUUAAAGCUUUAGCCAGACAAUCGCGGUGGCAAUUCGUUAAAGAUAAGAAACUGUGCAUUCGAUGCUUCAAGAACCAUUUAGUUCGUCGAUGUAAGUCGAACAAAUUAUGUGGUAUUGAUGGUUGUCGCUUGGUUCAUAACCCACUGCUGCACAGACGAAGUGAGGAGCUACGCAAUACUGAAGAUACAACUGGGAAGCCUGAGUCCAACGCGGUAUGUUUGCACCAAAAACAGUGCGAGAAGGUGCUCUUCAGAUAUAUUCCGGUGACUUUGCAUGCCAAUGGUAGGGCUGUGGAUACGAUAGCUCUUAUCGACGAAGGGGCAUCAUGCACGCUCUUAGAUGAGUUCUUGGCACACAAGUUGAUGCUCACAGGUCCGACUGAAGAGCUUUGCUUGAGAUGGACCGGCAAUAUCACGCAGCAGGAGCCAAAUUCCAAAAUAGUCUCGCUGGAAAUAUCGGCCAGGGGAACCGAUUUGGUGAAAUAUAGUUUGCAUAAGGUCCGUACACUCGCCAAUUUGGAUCUCCCGCAACAAUCGCUCCAAAUGAAUGUCAUUGAGAAGCGGCAACACUUGAAGUCGCUGCCGAUCUUACCGUACUCAGAGUGCAAAGCAGGAAUACUUAUUGGUUUGGACCAUGCCAAGCUUAGCCUGCCUUUAGAAAUUCGUGAGAGCAAAGAUGACGGCCUGAUUGCUACGCGUUGCAAACUAGGGUGGUCGGUUUAUGGUCGAGAUGGCCGCGAACAAUUGACGGAGGCGCGCUUAAUGCACAUUUGCCCCUGUACGAAAUAUAGUGAUUUGGACACUCUGAUGCGCUCGUACUUUUCUUUCGAGGCGUUUGGAAUUAGCCCAUAUGUUAAGCCUUUAGUUUCAACAGAAGACGAGCGGGCUCUCAAAAUAAUGGAAAAAACGACCAGAUAUAUCGCGCAUGAGAAAAGGUGGGAAACGGGCCUCUUGUGGCGAUACGAGCAUGUCGAUUUACCCGACUCCUAUGCUAUGGCUCGCAAGCGACUCGAAUGUUUGGAGAAGAAAAUGAAUAAAAACGCGGCCUUAAAGGAUUACCUUUAGAACGAAUAAAAGACUACAUAAUUAAAGGCUAUGUAAAAAGGUUAAAACCAUGUGAGGUUUCAAAUGGAGGCAAGUCGUGGUUUGUACCGAUGUUCACCGUCAUGAACGCAAACAAAGGCAAGGUUCGGCUAGUUUGGGAUGCAGCCGCUAAAGUUGAGGGAACCUCUUUAAACGACGUUCUUUUAAAACCCGACCCGACCUUUUGAAAUCAUUGGUGGGUAUCCUCAUACGCUUUCGCGAAAAGCCGGUGGCAUUGUGUGGUGAUAUCCGAGAAAUGUUUCACCAAAUCAGAGUGGUGAAAGAGGACCAAAUAGCACAGCAAUUCCUUUGGCGAAACGGUGACACAACUCGAGAUCCAAAAGUAUAUUCGAUGGUUGUCAUGACCUUUGGGGCAUCCUGCUCACCAUUCCUCGCCAACUAUGUGAAGGACAAAAAUGCAAAACGAUGCAUACACAGAUUUCCCACUGCAGUCAAUGCCAUUACGUAAAACACAUUUGUGGACGAUUGGUUGCAAAGCGUUGAAUCUGAGGACGAAAUGCUUCAACUUGCAACCACCGUGCGGCAUAUUCACAACGAAGGGGGCUUCGAAAUGCGAAACUGGUUAUCGAAUUCGAAGCGAGUUCUACUUUCCCUGUCCGGUAAAACUGAGAUAGCCGAUAAGAGUUUUGAGGAGGCUAAUGACGCGAUUGAAAAGGUCCUUGGCAUGUGGUGGCGCCCAUGCACAGACGAGUUGUUAUUCGUUCAGAAAUUCGACGCUUCCUUCGAAGAAACAAGCCAUCCGACAAAGCGCCAAAUUUUGCGAGCCGUUAUGAAGAUAUUUGACCCACUGUGCUUAGUGGGAUUUUUUGUCAUCAAAGCUAGAAUGAUAUUGCAGGACAUUUGGCGGUCCGGCGUGCUUUCGGACGAACCAAUACAUGUUGCCGAACGUGCCGAGUGGUGGAAGUGGGUGCAAAAACUUCAGCUGCUGAGUAGUUUACGAGUGCCCCGAUGUUAUCGGUUUGCGAGCUGCAGUAACCGCGUUGAGCUUCACGUAUUUGUAGAUGCAAGCAUAGCGGCCUAUUCAGCUGUGGCAUUUCUGCGAUCAGAAUUUAAUGGCGAGUUUCACUGUAGCCUAGUGGCCUCCAAAACACGCGUAGCACCUCUAAAACCCAUAUCCGUACCGAGGCUGGAAUUAAUGGCGGCCAUCUUGGGGUUGCGCUUAGCCAUCUUCAUCAAGGGCGAACUAUCGAUUUCUGUUUGUCGGCGCAUAUUCUGGUCCGACUCCAAGGAUGUUCUGUAUUGGAUACGCUCCGAUACUAGAAAAUUUAACCAGUUCGUUGCUGUACGUAUCGGUGAAAUCCUUCAAGACUCGCAGGUGGAUGAAUGGCGAUGGGUCCCUACAAAGCUCAACGUUGCUGACGAUGGUACGAAGUGGGAUGACAACAUGCAGUUCAGCAGUGACAUGAGAUGGUUUUCUGGGCCGGAAUUUCCUCGUUCGCCCGAAAGUUGCUGGCCUGUUUCAGAGUUCAGCCAAUCUCACGAGGAGGGGACUGAGUUUGUUCACCACAUCUCCGAAGGAGCGGAGUAUACUAAUCGAUGCUCACCAGACCCGACACGUUUCAGUAAGUGGGAAAGGCUGCGAGGCGCUCAAAUGCGCGUAUUUAGCUUUCUACGCAAAAUUAUGAAGCUGGACGCAAGAAAUCUUACAAUGAAAACUUUCUUGGAUGACAAAACAUGCGAAAGCUCGGAGAAAUUAAUUUUCCGCGAAUAUCAGGAGGAAUCCUUCGCAAACGAGUUUCUUCAGUUAAGAUCAAGCGUUGCUAAGGUAAAUCGCAAAAGUUCAAUUUUUAAGCUCUCGCCUUAUAUAGAUGGCAACGGGUUGCUGCGCGUUAAAGGAGGAAUUGACGCAGUGGAAGGAGUGCCAAUGGACGUUAAGCGGCCGAUUAUACUACCUCGAAAUCACCGUGUUACAUUUCUUCUGGUAGAUUUUUACCAUCGAAAAUUGCGCCAUCAAUUCAGCGAAAUCUCAGUGAACGAACUAAGGCAGCGUUUCUGUAUUCCAGGGUUGAGAACGCUUGUAAGGUCAGUGGCCAAGAUGUGCCAGCAAUGCAAAAUUCGUCGAGCUGCGCCCAAUAUUCCUGAAAUGGGACCACUUCCUUUAGAGCGUGUGGCCUCAUUUACACGUCCAUUCGCUUACGUGGGCGUUGACUAUUUCGGGCCGUUUGAUAUUGUUGUGGGCAAACGACACGAAAAACGCUGGGGUGUCUUGUUCACCUGUAUGACCGUACGUGCCGUGCAUAUAGAGAUAUCACCGUCUCUCUCCACAGACUCAUUUCUGCUAGUCCUAAAGCAGUUCAUGAGCCGACGAGGUGUACCGUGGCGCAUUUUGUCGGAUAACGGAACAAACUUUCGUGGUGCCAGCCGCGUUUUAGCAGACGAAAUUGAAAAGAUCGCUGUCACUGAGGUCGAGCAAAAAUAUCCAAAUAUAGAGUGGGUAUUUAUACCGCCAGCUGCGCCGCACAUGGGUGGUGCAUGGGAGCGCAUGGUACGUUCCAUAAAAUCGGUUUUAAUGAAUAUAUUACCACGAAGGUGUGUACGCGAAGAGAUCCUACGCGCGGCGAUGGCAGAGGCUGAGUCCACUGUCAACAUACGUCCCCUCACCUAUAUUCCUAUUGAAACAUCGGCAAGCGAAGCGUUGACCCCAAACCAUUUCCUCCUUGGUUCGUCCAGUGGCGUUCGAGAACGUGUUGAUAGGGAUUGCACAUCGGCUGUGUUGAGCAGAAACUUUCGCAUUGCUGGACAAAUAGCCGACGAAUUCUGGAAAAGGUGGGUAAGAGAAUGCCUUCCGUGCUUGACCAGACGUUCUAAGUGGUUUGAGCCUCAGCCAAACAUUAGGACAGGGGACGUAGUCAUCAUCAUCGACGAAAAUACGCGGCGAAAUACCUGGACAAAAGGACGAGGUUUUGACGUAAUACGAGGUCGAGAUGGCCAGGUCCGAAGCGCUGUUGUGAGAACCGAAGGUGGCCUUAUGACGAGGCCAGUUACGAAGCUAGCCAAACUUGAUAUCGAUCUGGCAAACCACGUUGCGGUGCAAGAAGUUUGCGAGGAGGGGUGUUAACGCGCCUAAUUAAUUGAACAUUGUAAUUAACGCGCUCAAGUUUGAUUAAAGAAAUGUACUAAAAUUUGCAGCCCUGCGCCUGCAAAGUAAUGCAAAUUCUCGCCAACAGAGGCUCGCGUGUAAUACGCUGUAUCCAAUUGCAUUUAUUUCUGUAAAGUUCUUUUCCCUUUUGCUGGCGGCGAGAAAACAUUAAUUUGCAGGAGCAAGCACAAAUAUUUUAGCGUGCAUAACAAUUAAAUAAAGGACGCUCAAAAUAAGUGCUGGUCUUAUAUUUUUCACUCGCCUGUCAACACAUAUAUUAGGUGGCUGAUUCGGAUUCGGCGUUAAUACAGUAUAUACAUAACGGACUUUCUAUUUUUAAUUCAUCCCAAAUAGUAAAAAAUGUUUUAGGUAUGCAGGUAUCUAUAACCGUACGCAAGUGCUUAAAAAAUGUACCAGAAAUUGACGAAAAAUUUAAA